CUCGGUUGUGGUGAUGAUCGCCCGCACUGCGGGAGGAAAGUCCGGACAUUCUUUGUAACUAUGUAUAGUAACAAAACAACAGGUAACAGGUAACGCCUGCCCGGGGAAACCCGCGGGGUGCGAACAGAGACGGCACAAUUUGAAAGGAUUGCGCCACCCCUUUGGGGUGAGUCGUAUUGGCAACAAUACGAUUGAAACGGCUAAAUCCCUACCCGAAUGCAAGGCCGUGCGCCAUACGUGGCGAGUGCCGCACGAGCAGAUCGGUGACGAUCUGCCCAGAUAAAUGAUCAUCCUCGACAGAAUCCGGCUUACUAUCAACCAAUACAA
Molecule: RNase P RNA, 327 nt
Filed under: bacterium
Lineage: Bacteria
Description: RNase P RNA component class A
Rfam family: Bacterial RNase P class A
About the family: Ribonuclease P (RNase P) is a ubiquitous endoribonuclease, found in archaea, bacteria and eukarya as well as chloroplasts and mitochondria. Its best characterised activity is the generation of mature 5'-ends of tRNAs by cleaving the 5'-leader elements of precursor-tRNAs. Cellular RNase Ps are ribonucleoproteins.
Source: RNAcentral